RNAcentral lists this ribosomal RNA (460 nucleotides) under uncultured bacterium. RNAcentral describes it as "partial 16S ribosomal RNA". It matches the Rfam family "Bacterial small subunit ribosomal RNA", at positions 338 to 795 of the family's 1533-position model. The record is from RNAcentral.
CCUACGGGUGGCAGCAGUGAGGAAUAUUGGUCAAUGGGCGCGAGCCUGAACCAGCGAAGCAGCGUGAAGGAUGACUGCCCUACGGGUUGUAAACUUCUUUUAUAAAGGAAUAAAGUGAGGCACGUGUGCCUUUUUGUAUGUACUUUAUGAAUAAGGAUCGGCUAACUCCGCGCCAGCAGCCGCGGUAAUACGGAGGAUCCGAGCGUUAUCCGGAUUUAUUGGGUUUAAAGGGAGCGUAGAGGGGUUGUUAAGUCAGUUGUGAAAGUUUGGGGCUCAACCGUAAGAUUGCAAUUGAUACUGGCAGUCUAGAGUACAGUUGAGGUAGGCGGAAUUCGUAGUGUAGCGGUGGAAUGCUUAGAUAUCACGAAGAACACCGAUGGCGAAGGCAGCUUACUAAACUGCCACUGACAUUGAUGAUCGAAAGUGUGGGUAGCAAACAGGAUUAGAUACCCUGGUAGUC